GGCUAUGGCUUAAGUGGUAGAGCACUUGCCUAGCAAGCUUGACACUUUGAGUUCUACCCUCAAUACUGCCA
This 71-nucleotide transfer RNA is filed under the name Dipodomys ordii (Ord's kangaroo rat). It matches the Rfam family "tRNA". From Rfam's summary of the family: Transfer RNA (tRNA) molecules are approximately 80 nucleotides in length. Lineage: Eukaryota; Metazoa; Chordata; Mammalia; Rodentia; Heteromyidae. The record is from Rfam by way of RNAcentral.